AGUGAACGCUGGCGGUAGGCCUAACACAUGCAAGUCGAACGGCAGCACAGUAAGAGCUUGCUCUUACGGGUGGCGAGUGGCGGACGGGUGAGGAAUACAUCGGAAUCUACUUUUUCGUGGGGGAUAACGUAGGGAAACUUACGCUAAUACCGCAUACGACCUACGGGUGAAAGCAGGGGAUCUUCGGACCUUGCGCGAUUGAAUGAGCCGAUGUCGGAUUAGCUAGUUGGCGGGGUAAAGGCCCACCAAGGCGACGAUCCGUAGCUGGUCUGAGAGGAUAAUCAGCCACACUGGAACUGAGACACGGUCCAGACUCCUACGGGAGGCAGCAGUGGGGAAUAUUGGACAAUGGGCGCAAGCCUGAUCCAGCCAUACCGCGUGGGUGAAGAAGGCCCUCGGGUUGUAAAGCCCUUUUGUUGGGAAAGAAAAGCAGCAGGUUAAUACCCCGCUGUUCUGACGGUACCCAAAGAAUAAGCACCGGCUAACUUCGUG
This 492-nucleotide ribosomal RNA is filed under the name uncultured bacterium. Its description in RNAcentral is "partial 16S ribosomal RNA". It matches the Rfam family "Bacterial small subunit ribosomal RNA", at positions 29 to 507 of the family's 1533-position model. The record is from RNAcentral.